GUUGAACGCUGGCGGCAUGCCUUACACAUGCAAGUCGAACGGCAGCACGGGAGCUUGCUCCUGGUGGCGAGUGGCGAACGGGUGAGUAAUACAUCGGAACGUACCCAGGAGUGGGGGAUAACGUAGCGAAAGUUACGCUAAUACCGCAUAUUCUGUGAGCAGGAAAGCGGGGGAUCGCAAGACCUCGCGCUCUUGGAGCGGCCGAUGUCGGAUUAGCUAGUUGGUGGGGUAAAAGCUCACCAAGGCGACGAGCCGUAGCAGGUCUGAGAGGAUGAUCUGCCACACUGGGACUGAGACACGGCCCAGACUCCUACGGGAGGCAGCAGUGGGGAAUUUUGGACAAUGGGGGCAACCCUGAUCCAGCCAUGCCGCGUGAGUGAAGAAGGCCUUCGGGUUGUAAAGCUCUUUCGGCGGGGAAGAAAUGGCAACGGCUAAUAUCCGUUGUUGAUGACGGUACCCGCAUAGGAAGCACCGGCUAACUACGUGCCAGCCGCCGCCGUAA
Molecule: ribosomal RNA, 502 nt
Filed under: uncultured bacterium
Lineage: Bacteria
Description: partial 16S ribosomal RNA
Rfam family: Bacterial small subunit ribosomal RNA
Source: RNAcentral